Cyprinus carpio carpio is the source of this 469-nucleotide long non-coding RNA. Lineage: Eukaryota; Metazoa; Chordata; Actinopteri; Cypriniformes; Cyprinidae. The record is from Ensembl.
AUUGUGGGCACUCCUGUUUAAAAGAGUGUUAUAAGUGAAUAUAAUCACCAAUUAAGUGGUCGGUUUUGUUAAAAUGUAGAUGAGUAUGCACAAGAGAAGGCUGAUCAAAUAUGCACUACAGUGAAUGCAACAAAUAAUUACUGUAUUUUUCAACUCAUGCAGAUAAAGAACCUCUGAACCAGCAAUUGGACUCCAGUUUUUAUUUAUUACACAACAUAACGCAGAGUCGUAGCCGAGUUGUGGUAACAGAGACACGCGAGCCCGAACCGGCUACAUAAGUAAGGAAUAACAAUAUACAAAUUGAAAAUUUUAUGUGCAGUUAUAUUACAAUAGACAGUUUUGUAUGUACAGGUAUAUUAUGUGCAAAUUUGAAGUGUAGACUACGUAUGUGUGUUAGAUAAAUAAGUGUAUAAAUAGUGUUGUGUGUUCCAUAGUUUUUGUCAAGUGUUCAUGAGAUGGAUUGCCUGGG